This 400-nucleotide ribosomal RNA is filed under the name phytoplankton environmental sample. RNAcentral's name for it is "partial small subunit ribosomal RNA". It matches the Rfam family "Eukaryotic small subunit ribosomal RNA", at positions 587 to 979 of the family's 1831-position model. The record is from RNAcentral.
AGCUCCAAUAGCGUAUAUUAAAGUUGUUGCAGUUAAAAAGCUCGUAGUUGGAUUUCUGUUUUUAGUUACCGGUCCGCUCAUGUAUUUGAGUGUGUACUUGUGUUUCUGAAUUCAUUUUUGUGAGGAUCCUUAGCUGGCAUUAAGUUGUCCGGCUUUGUGUACUUGCAUCUUUUACUGUGAAAAAAUUAGAGUGUUUAAAGCAGGCGUUCGCUUCUUGAAUACAUUAGCAUGGAAUAAUAAGAUAUGACUUGUGUGGUCUAUUUUGUUGGUUUGCACACGCGAGUAAUGAUUAAUAGGGACAGUUGGGGGUAUUCAUAUUUCAGCGUCAGAGGUGAAAUUCUUGGAUCGCUGAAAGAUGAGCUUAGGCGAAAGCAUUUACCAUGGAUGUUUUCAUUAAUCA